UACAGGCAUAAGCCACUGUGCCCAGCUGUAUCUUCUUUUACCGAUGAGGACACUGACAGAGACAGGGUCUCACUCUGUCACCCAGGAGUACAGUGGCACGAUCAUAGCUCAACGUAAACUGGAACUUCUGGGCUUAAGCGAUGCUCUCGCUUCAGCCUCCCAAGUACCUGGGACCACAGCAGGGAAAAAGCAAAUCCUGGAGGAAGCUCACCUUCUCCACACUGCUCAUCGCCUGGAAAUAGAUGUUGUAUCCUUUGCGCGGAGCCAAAGGAGGGUUCCAAAAGCCUUGUCCUUCAAUCCACAUUUCAAUUAACUUCCUUGUUCUCCCAAUACCUCAUAUUGAGUGAUGAUUCCAUUUGGAUCCAAAGGUUCUUUCCAGUUCAAGAAGAUCUUAUUUUCAAAGGAUGUUCCUUGAAGAGAUUUUACUGUGAACUUCACACAUGACAUUAUCCAGAAAUGUAGUUUCAAAGUAUAUAGCAAUUUUGUGAGGAUUGAAAUAAAUUAAAAAUCACUGGAUCAAGGGAAAUACAUUGCAUUGUGGCUAGGAGCAUCAAGAAAUUCUGAAUGAUAUCUCACGAGAGCAGGAUUUAUUUCAAUCUACAAGGAGACUAUGAAUGAUACUAUGACCUCUGAGACAGGCAACAUAAUUUGAUACAUUGAGGAAAGAAACCCACAAUAAACAGAAAAUAUGCCAGCACUAAACUUUAGAAGAUAUGUUCAAGCCAUUGUCAGCCGAAGACUAUGAGAGAAGUUAACUGAAUGCAUCCGCUCUCUCCCUGCUCCACAGUACCAGCAAGGCUGUGCAGCUGAUCCAGACAGAGGGCCAGUGAGAGCCCCUCUGCACAUCUGUGUCUAUUGCUAAGGCUGCCAUGGGCAUUGGUUUGUCUUGCAAGAGUACCUGUUGUUUCCAUUAUAUGCAAAUGACAUACACUUAUGAUUAUAUUGAAGGAAAAGAUAUUUCUUCAUCCUUACGUAUCUCUCAUAGAAGGUGGCUAAUGGGGGAAAAAGGGAGCAAAAUAUCCAAUUAAUGAAUAAAUGUUGAUUUGAUGGCAUUGUAAUUAUAAUAACUGCCUAUGUUUACCUAACACAAUUUAGCCUACAAAUACCAUAAAAUGGCAUAGAUUUAUUUUAUCGAACAUCGUUCAAUAAUAGGGAUGGUUUAAAAUAUUUGUAUAAUUCUACAUUGAAAAAGGAGUAGAAUUGGGAAGUACCUUCCCUAGAAGUUUUGUAUUUCUAUGCUCUUACAGUUUUUCUGUUUUGACAAUAGAAUUCACUACAAGUACCUAUAGAUUGCAUUUGUAAGACAAAAGUUUGUGGCAAAGUUGUGGACAAGAGAGUGUCAUACUACUUGUCGUGUACUUGGAUGAUCAUAGAUGAGAGAAGGAACUAUACUUAGAUGAACUAAAAGACACACACAAACAGGUGAGGUGAGGUGUGAGCACAAACAAAGUAGAUUCAAUAACUUUCUACAUUUGAAGGAAGAUCAUGUGUACAAUUAUAGACAGAAAAUGUCUCUCUGUACCUAUGAUUUGUGUAAAUACUAUAUGAAGUUACUAAAACCAUUAUCAUGGCAGUCUACUGAUUGCAGGGAAUGUCACUUCACAUUUCCACAUCAACAACUUUUAAUGGAAACAGAAUGCUGACUUUUGUUCCCUUGCCUGAGACUUAUAUGACAGCUAUUUCAGCUACUUUUUUUGAAAGUCCUUUAUAAUAUAACUCUCAAAAUGGAAAAGAGAGUGGAAAUAAAAUAUGGGUGGGGCAAGAUUAUAUUAGAUAAGCAUUAUAGCCUUUAAAAUGUAAUAAAUGUACUUUCAAAAAAAAAAAAAAA
This 1828-nucleotide long non-coding RNA is filed under the name Homo sapiens (human). RNAcentral describes it as "PTPRK antisense RNA 1 (PTPRK-AS1)". Lineage: Eukaryota; Metazoa; Chordata; Mammalia; Primates; Hominidae. The record is from RNAcentral.